GAUGAACGCUGGCGGCGUGCUUAACACAUGCAAGUCGAACGAUCAGGCCCAGCUUUCUGGGUGCAUUCGUGGCGAACGGGUGGGUGACACAUGAGUAACCUGCCCUUAUCUCUGUGAUAAACCUGUGAAACUGGGUGGAAUACCUGAUAGAAGAGCCUACGUCACGGGGGGUGGUGUAGAGAUUUACGGGUUUUGGGUGGACUCGCGGCGUAUCAGCUUGUUGGUGAGGUAUUGGCUCACCAAGGCGAUGACGGGUAGCCGGCCUGAGAGGGUGACCGGCCACACUGGGACUGAGACACGGCCCAGACUCAUACGGGAGGCAGCAGUGGGGAAUAUUGCACAAUGGGCGAAAGCCUGAUGCAGCGACGCCGCGUGAGGGAUGACGGCCUUCGGGUUGUAAACCUCUUUCAGUAGAGAAGAAGCGAAAGUGACGGUACCUGCAGAAGAAGCACCGGCUAACUACGUG
This 466-nucleotide ribosomal RNA is filed under the name uncultured bacterium. Its description in RNAcentral is "partial 16S ribosomal RNA". It matches the Rfam family "Bacterial small subunit ribosomal RNA", at positions 28 to 507 of the family's 1533-position model. The record is from RNAcentral.